Molecule: ribosomal RNA, 829 nt
Filed under: Bacillus spizizenii
Lineage: Bacteria; Bacillati; Bacillota; Bacilli; Caryophanales; Bacillaceae
Description: bacterial SSU rRNA
Rfam family: Bacterial small subunit ribosomal RNA
Source: RNAcentral
GGCGUGCGUAAUACAUGCAAGUCGAGCGGACAGAUCGGAGCUUGCUCCCUGAUGUUAGCGGCGGACGGGUGAGUAACACGUGGGUAACCUGCCUGUAAGACUGGGAUAACUCCGGGAAACCGGGGCUAAUACCGGAUGCUUGUUUGAACCGCAUGGUUCAAACAUAAAAGGUGGCUUCGGCUACCACUUACAGAUGGACCCGCGGCGCAUUAGCUAGUUGGUGAGGUAAUGGCUCACCAAGGCAACGAUGCGUAGCCGACCUGAGAGGGUGAUCGGCCACACUGGGACUGAGACACGGCCCAGACUCCUACGGGAGGCAGCAGUAGGGAAUCUUCCGCAAUGGACGAAAGUCUGACGGAGCAACGCCGCGUGAGUGAUGAAGGUUUUCGGAUCGUAAAGCUCUGUUGUUAGGGAAGAACAAGUACCGUUCGAAUAGGGCGGUACCUUGACGGUACCUAACCAGAAAGCCACGGCUAACUACGUGCCAGCAGCCGCGGUAAUACGUAGGUGGCAAGCGUUGUCCGGAAUUAUUGGGCGUAAAGGGCUCGCAGGCGGUUUCUUAAGUCUGAUGUGAAAGCCCCCGGCUCAACCGGGGAGGGUCAUUGGAAACUGGGGAACUUGAGUGCAGAAGAGGAGAGUGGAAUUCCACGUGUAGCGGUGAAAUGCGUAGAGAUGUGGAGGAACACCAGUGGCGAAGGCGACUCUCUGGUCUGUAACUGACGCUGAGGAGCGAAAGCGUGGGGAGCGAACAGGAUUAGAUACCCUGGUAGUCCACGCCGUAAACGAUGAGUGCUAAGUGUUAGGGGGUUUCCGCCCCUUAGUGCUGCAG